GGCAGAGUAGCAUAGUGGUAAGGUGUAGGGCUUGUAACCGAAAGGUUGCCGGUUUGACUCCCUGCUGGGGCA
This is a non-coding RNA of Megalops atlanticus (tarpon), 72 nucleotides long. NCBI's taxonomy places the organism in Eukaryota, Metazoa, Chordata, Actinopteri, Elopiformes, Megalopidae. The record is from the annotation of a GenBank genome assembly.